This 4705-nucleotide long non-coding RNA is filed under the name Populus tremula. RNAcentral's name for it is "long non-coding RNA (PTRE_LNC003033)". Lineage: Eukaryota; Viridiplantae; Streptophyta; Magnoliopsida; Malpighiales; Salicaceae. The record is from RNAcentral.
GUUAAUAUUUCUCUUAACUAUUUAAUAUCUUCUUUUUAUUUUGGUUUUUCAGUUUUUUAGGUUUCGAAUUUUUGUUGUAAGAUACUAUGACAUGCAUAAGGACCUGAGAGGAAAUAAUAUUGCUGCAUAACAAUCACGUAAUUCUUUUUCAUUAUCCUUGAUAACGUAAAAUAAACCCUCCACACUUACCUUCCUCUGUUCAAGAGAUGGUUGCGCCGAUCCACGGUGCCUAUUUUUGUAUUCUCCCGCCCAGCAUUCCAUCGGGGGUCUUUCAUUGCUCCGAUCCAUUAUCCUUUGAUCAGUACUUGAUGUUUCGCCAAAUAUUUCCCUCUGAUCAUUGAACUGAGAUAAUCAAUGGCGUUAGAACCAGCACGUAUAAUUAAUCACUAUUUGAUAAAACAAACUGAAAUACCAUAUUUAAGAAUAACAUUUUCAGGAAACAAACACAAAAUAUUUGCAAGAAAUCAAAAUUGAAACAAGUGAAACUUCAUCGCUCUGACCCAUUAUCUGCUGAUCAGUAAUUGAUGCAAUCGCUGGUGUUUAGAAACAGCACGUAUAUAUACACUAUCACUAAGUCAUGAAGAAAAACAUAUUCUGAAAACAACCACAAUAAUAGUUUGCAUGAAAUCAAUCUUAAUUUGUGGUUAUUUCUAUCUGUGUUAGUUUUCAUGGGGUUUCUAGUGACGAGCUUUUUACUCAUGUUUUAUUAUGGAAUGCAAACUAGUGGUGUCUUGCUGUGAAAUAAAAGGGUAAACUUCAUUUAUUUUCCUUGUAAUAGAUUCAUUAAUAUUCUACUUCUACUCCUACUCCUACUCCUACUCUUAUAGUUUUCAUAAAAUCCUGUUAAUAUUACUCUUAACCAUUUAAUAUCUUCUUUUUAUUUUGGUUUUUCAGUUUUUUAGGUUUCGAAUUUUUGUUGUAAGAUACUAUGACAUGCAUAAGGACUUGAGAGGAAAUAAUAAGAGAAAAGUUAUAAAAAAACAAAAAUAAUUCUGCAUAGCAAUCACGUAAUUCUUUUUCAUUAUCCUUGAUAACGUAAAAUAAACCCUCCACACUUACCUCGCUCGUUUUAGGAACUAGUGGAGGUGGAGGUGGAGGUUGUGGCAUAGCUAGUACAAUUGGAGGCUUCUCCGCUGGGGAAGCCCUCUUCUUUUUUGAUUGCUCCCCCGGAUCCAUUAUCCUUUGAUCAGUACUUGAUGUUCCGCCAAUUUCCCUCAUAUGAUUGAACUGAGAUAAUCUAUGGCGUUAGAACCAGCACGUAUAAUUAAUCACUAUUUGAUAAAACAAACACAAAAUAUUUGCAAGAAAUCAAAAUUGAACAAUAUUCUCUUAAAUCAUGUCUUUUCACAUGUUCACCCGCUCAAAAGAAAAAGAAAAGAAAAAAAAAAAACGGGUAUCCAGUUCUAUAUGUUACCCAAUUUUGGACUCGAAAAUUUCAGUUUUCUGAGGGGUUUUAGCGACAAGCUUUUCACUUAUGUUUGAUUAUGGAAUGCAAAUUAGUGGUGUCUUCUUGUAAAAUAAAAGGGUAAACUUCAAUAAUUAUCCUUAUAGAUUCAUCAUUGCUCUACUUUACUCUUAUAAUUUCAAUUUUUCCGCUAUAACCCUUGUAGUUUUCAUAAAAUUCCAUUAAUAUUACUCUAAAAGCAAUUAACAAACGCAUCAAAAGCCUGUUGGAUAGAAACUUACAUACCUAAAAGCUCUCGACAACCGGCAGUUUUAGAAGUUCUUCUCGUUUCAAUGAUGACAAUCCACCUCUAGUGUCCAAAAAGAUGUGCCAAGAAUGGUAGGCUCUCCCUCUUUAAUAUACCUUCCAAAAUGUUCUAUUGCCCCUUAUUCACCACACACGUACUUAUCAAUAAUCCUUAAUCACCACAUCCGACACAGUACAAUUGUAAUAUCCCUAUUAUUUUAUCUAGAUAAUUUCUCAAUUAAAUAUAAAAAUUUAAAGUAAUUUUUAUUUUUAUUUUACUAAUCAUAUGAACAAUUAAGAUGCAAUUACUUAAUUUAGCAUAAAAAAAAUUUAACAUGACAUUCACAUUAGUUACAUAUAAAAAUUAUAUCUAUAACCAAAAGGAUUCGAUUAAUAUCAUUUACAUAAUUUAUUCAUCCCAUAAUAUUGAUUAAUUAUCAUAAAUAUAUAAAAAAUAUCUAAUAUUCAAACAAGAUCUAUUUUAUUAUUACAAGGAUCUCAAAAUCAAAUUAAUAUUCUAUCAACAUAAUUAUUAAAAAAUACAAAACAUCAUUUCAUUACAUCCAUAUAAAAUAUUUUAUAUAUAUAUAUUUUAUAAGGAGUCAUUAAUAUCUCGGGAUCUCAAUACCUUCUUAUCCAGCAAGAUUCUCCUUCUGUUCAUGUAGAAAAGAAUAAGUAAAACAUUUGGAGUUAAUUUCUCCUCCUAAAAUGUUAAACACUUUAUUUUUAUUUUUUUAAAUAAAACUUGGUAUGGGUAGAGAAACCAAAACAUAUAUUUGGUUUCUUUAAUGUAAAAUGAUAUUUUUUUUCAUUAGAAAAACAAAAGUAUGAUAAAGAAAUGUGAAAAAUAAUAAUGUGCAAAAAAACUAUUGUGGUAAAAAAACUGGUCUCAUUCUCAGUCCUUUUUUUCUGAGGAUUUUUUCUCACAUCUCUAAAAAAAUAAAAAACCAAAACAUUACAAAAAAAAUUAAGACCCAAAUAUAAAUUGCUUAAAUAAUAAAGAUUAAAUAACACAAAAAUUAAAACCUUUUAAACAAAAACAAAGUUUUUCGCCUGGAAAUGAAAAAGGUUCUUUAUUUAUUUAUUUUUGUUUACUUUUGUCCUGUUCAUUCAACUUUUCUUAAACUAUAGUUUUGGACUCUAUUUCAUAAAAUUGAUCAUUAAUUAAUUUAAUUUCAAAAUCUAUAGAAACACUUUUAAUUUGAAAAAUCAUGCAAAGAAAAGUAAAUCUCAACAUAUAACAUGUAAGAUCAUUGUUGCGAAGGCUUUCCUACUCAGACUAAUGGUCUCUGCAUAAUAACAAUCACGUAAUGCUGCUUCAUUCCCCUCGAUAACAUAAACUAAGUCCUCCACACUUACUAAUAAAUUCUGUUCGAGAAAUUGUUGCAGGUACAUUAUUUUGUGGUCUUCCAUAGCUUUUAGAUUUUCCUUACCAUGGUGAAUAGGGCCUAUUGAGACUACUCGAGGUGUAUAUGCCUUUCUAUGUAACUUCCGCAAUCGUUCCGGGACUCUAUAGAUGCAGCGUACCGGGGAGAAAGCCUUGUUGAUCUUCAAUUGCUCCCUCAAAGAAUUGGCUAACUCAUUGACAUCAAGUGAAACUUCAUCGCUCUGAUCCAUUAUCUGUGAUUGAACUGAUACAAUCGCUGGUGUUUAGAAACAGCACGUAUAUACUAUCACUAAGUCAUGAAAGAAACAUAUUCUUUCCAUGAGUUCACACUUAAAGCCUUCUCAAUGAAUUCAUAUUGAGGUUUACAACCUUUUUUUUAAGAUCAAGAUAUCAUAAAUGAAUUCAAAACCUCCUUUUAAGAAAGUUUCUUCUGGAACCAUUACUGAACUACAGAAAUGAUACUGUUUAUUUGAACAUCAAAGUUAAAUAAAUUAGGGCAGAGGACUUUGAAAGCAAUUAGUGUUUUCUGAUAGGACUUUCUAAGAAGCAGGAACAUAUUAGUUAGUUUAUAGAUAUAUCAUUAGGUGGGGGCUAUUAUAUAUUUUAUCUAUGUGUCUUGUGUUUAUUGGUUUGUUUAUAGAUAAUUGAUACUUAAUCUAUGUAAUAAUUCAUUUAAGUCUCCAUUCACUGUUUUUCUUUUUCCUCUUUUAAAGAAUAGCAUUUGUUCAGCUUGCUGCGAUUUUUCUGAACUUGUAAUUUGUUUAAGCCCCAGCUUGUUUUGUUCCAAGCUAUUGAAAGGAAGAUGGGAUGUAUAGUUGGUUGGCACAAGGCAUUUUAUGCCUUUUGUUUCUUCCUCGAAACUUUGCAUGAGUCUACUAAUACUACUAGAUAUUUUGACGUAGUUUGCUUUUUAUUUACAAAUUUUCACUCAACUAAUUGAGAUUUUUAUGUCAAUAAUUCAUUGUAGACUCGAACUUUUCCUCCAUAAAGUGAUUAGAAUUGACCUGACCCUACUAAAUGAAAGCAAAAGUCAUAAUUAUCUGAUCCAUUAUCUGUGAUUGAACUGAUACAAUCGCUGGUGUUUAAUAAAAGCACGUAUAUGCUAACACUAAGUCAUGAAAAAAAUAUAUUCUGAAAACAACCACAAUAAUAGUUUGCAUGAAAUCAAUCUUAAUUUGUGGUUAUUUCUAUCUGUGUUAGUUUUCAAGGGGUUUCUAGUGACGAGCUUUUUACUCAUGUUUUAUUAUGGAAUGCAAACUAGUGGUACUUGCUGUAAAAAAAAGGGUAAACUUCAAUUAUUUUCCUUGUAAUAGAUUCAUUAAUAUUCUACUUCUACUCCUACUCUAAUAGUUUUCAUAAAAUCCUGUUAAUAUUACUCUUACCUAUGAAAUAUCUAAUUCUUUUUAAUUUUGGUUUUUCAGUUUUUUAGGUUUCGGAUUUUUGUUGUAAGAUACUACGACAUGCAUAAAGACUUGAGAGGAAAUAAUAAGAGAAAAGUUAUAAAAAAACAAUAAUAUUUCUGCAUAACAAUCACGUAAUUCUUUUUCAUUAUCCUUGAUAACGUAAAAUAAACCCUCCACACUUACCUUGCUCUGUUCAAGAAAUUGUUGCGGGUGCAUAUUUUUUUG